Pezoporus occidentalis (night parrot) is the source of this 2206-nucleotide long non-coding RNA. RefSeq lists it as uncharacterized. The transcript is spliced from 6 exons. NCBI's taxonomy places the organism in Eukaryota, Metazoa, Chordata, Aves, Psittaciformes, Psittacidae. The record is from RefSeq and is a predicted model, not a curated record.
AGUGCAUGUCACACGAGUGGUGAUGGAUUGAUUACUCCUUUCAAAUAGGUUCCCUGAAAGUCUCCAGCACAAUAAAUAAAGAGGGAGUUGGAGGGGUCCUAAAGUUCCCUUUUUCUACCCUGCCUGGUAAAAAGCUAUGGUGGAAACAGUGGGUGCCAAGCGAGGAAUGGGAAGGUUUUCAAGAGGUUCGGGGUAAAACAGGCCUGGCUGAUGGUUUUGAAUGCUUGGGGUUGGCAGUCGUGAGUCCUCACCUGAGCCUUUCCCUUUCACCAAGAAGCUGCAAGCUGCCCCAAGACAAAAGAUAAGGCUGUGGCCGCGAGGUGGAAUAUUCCCAGAUCCAAGCCAGGCAGAAGCAAUGCGAGGCUGUGGGACAAACUCCAACUGCUUGGGUUUCAUCUGCCCCAGGGUAGGUUUUGCUGUCAAUUCUCAUUGAGACAAAGCCCUUGGACCAGCAGCCAGCUUCUGAUGGGAGGAAGAAGGCGAGAGCCAGGUCCCAAAGACAUCUGCCAAGAUAACAGCUUAUCCAAACAGGAAUCACAACCAUCUCUGUGAACGUUCAGCCUGAAGGAAGCUGGAGGGAUCCCACAUUGUGAACUAAACCACCAGGACGAUAUCCAUCAUGCAUGCUCUGAAAGAUCUGAUGCCUGGGUGAGCAACUGCUCAUGGAACUUCUUCAGUUCAGAAGGAUGAGUUAAUUGUUUCUUCCCAGUGCUACUUCAUGCAUCAUAUGACAAGGCACAUCUGUUCAGUGACUAAUAGAAAGAGAAUAUCCCAUGCGUGUAAGCGGCACAAGGCUGCCUCACACUCAACCCUUCUGAGCCUUUUUCGAGGGCUGGUUAUGCAAUAAAUAAAAGGGGACAAAUUCAUCCCAGGGAAGAACUCUUUUAGUUCAGCUUUGAAAGCAGUAAUUUGCCUUGGAAAAAUAGCCAACAUCAAAAUAAUAAUGAGUGCAUGUUACUGCUGACAGUCCUGGAGACAAGAAUUCUCCACGCAUCCAGAGCCAACUUCUCAAGUCUUCGUAUCUUAGCUCUUACACAUGGAAAGCCCUCAGCAGAGGAGGUGGAGAAAGGGAGUGGGAAGGCUUUGUAGCACUAAAUGCCUCAAGAGCUGGCUUUCAGUGAACAGGCAUGCCAAGCCUUGAUAACCAGCAGUGAGGACAUUGAUGGCACCCUUUGCUGUGUGCUCCAGUGCUGAGCCCAAGGGAUCCCAUAUAGAAAGAUCAGGGCAGGGAAGAGGGGCCAUCAACAUCUUCAUGCUGGCUCGGGUGCCAACAGAACACCAGUCAUUUGCCUUUUGCAAUCCAUAUGCAGGUUGUAUAGGACCUCCCUGUAGGGGGUGAGGUGAAUGGCAUUUGGUCUGUGCCGUCUGGGGUUGUCAGUUUAAUGAUGUAGGACUCAGGGAACAGUUUAAUACAGAAAUCUAGCCGGCAGCCUCAUUAGUCCUUGGAGCUUUGCAGUGCUUUGCAACCGGUGUGCAAUAAAGGGGAAAAUAAGAACAUAUUGUAAAGGAGUAUUUCAUCAGCUGGAGGCUGGGGAAUAAAUCAGAGAGAAGCAUGCAUUGAAAGUAAUGUAUCUGCAGGAUCUGGCUGGACUUUGGGAUUUGUUUUCUGUCUUUUUUGUAGUCACAAAUUGUUCACUGGGAAAUUGCAGCUUCAGAUGGGGUAGAGCUGCAUCGUGCUGUUAAAGUUUAUGAAGCAGUGUCACCAGUGGAGCUCGGUUACUUCCACCAGCUGAAGUGUUGGCCUUCUCUAUGUUUUUAUGACCUUUCUCAUUGUUCUUGAUUGCUUGAUGAAGACAAUAUAUUCCUUCCUUUGUGUAAGUGACCUGUGAUGUCUUUUGUUCUCCUUUUUAACAAGUUAAAAUCCAGAACAGAAGUCAUCACUGGCAUAGCAGCUCUCUUGGGAUAAGGGAGGGGAGUACUCCAGGGAGAGAGAACAGUUAUGGAAUCACAGAGUCAUAGGGUUGUUUUGGUUAGAAAACACCUUUAAGGUCAUUGAGUCCAACCAUUAACCCAGCACUGCCGACCUCACCUCUAAACCCUGUCCCUAAGCAGCACAGACAGGCUCAGAGCUCAUUACUGGAUGUUCUGCACAUGAAUCCCCAUGCACUGCAUGAGGAACUGGAUCUAUGGAGUCCAUCUCCACCAUCUCACCCUCGGUACCACUGGGAACUCAGUGGGCAUCCGGGCAGUAAUGGCAAAAGCAGAA